GUCGAACGAUGAUCUCCAGCUUGCUGGGGGGAUUAGUGGCGAACGGGUGAGUAACACGUGAGUAACCUGCCCUUAACUCUGGGAUAAGCCUGGGAAACUGGGUCUAAUACCGGAUAUGACUCCUCAUCGCAUGGUGGGGGGUGGAAAGCUUUUUGUGGUUUUGGAUGGACUCGCGGCCUAUCAGCUUGUUGGUGAGGUAAUGGCUCACCAAGGCGACGACGGGUAGCCGGCCUGAGAGGGUGACCGGCCACACUGGGACUGAGACACGGCCCAGACUCCUACGGGAGGCAGCAGUGGGGAAUAUUGCACAAUGGGCGAAAGCCUGAUGCAGCGACGCCGCGUGAGGGAUGACGGCCUUCGGGUUGUAAACCUCUUUCAGUAGGGAAGAAGCGAAAGUGACGGUACCUGCAGAAGAAGCGCCGGCUAACUACGUGCCAGCAGCCGCGGUAAUACGUAGGGCGCAAGCGUUAUCCGGAAUUAUUGGGCGUAAAGAGCUCGUAGGCGGUUUGUCGCGUCUGCUGUGAAAGACCGGGGCUCAACUCCGGUUCUGCAGUGGGUACGGGCAGACUAGAGUGAUGUAGGGGAGACUGGAAUUCCUGGUGUAGCGGUGAAAUGCGCAGAUAUCAGGAGGAACACCGAUGGCGAAGGCAGGUCUCUGGGCAUUAACUGACGCUGAGGAGCGAAAGCAUGGGGAGCGAACAGGAUUAGAUACCCUGGUAGUCCAUGCCGUAAACGUUGGGCACUAGGUGUGGGGGACAUUCCACGUUUUCCGCGCCGUAGCUAACGCAUUAAGUGCCCCGCCUGGGGAGUACGGCCGCAAGGCUAAAACUCAAAGGAAUUGACGGGGGCCCGCACAAGCGGCGGAGCAUGCGGAUUAAUUCGAUGCAACGCGAAGAACCUUACCAAGGCUUGACAUGGACCGGAUCGCUGCAGAAAUGUGGUUUCCCCUUUGGGGUCGGUUCACAGGUGGUGCAUGGUUGUCGUCAGCUCGUGUCGUGAGAUGUUGGGUUAAGUCCCGCAACGAGCGCAACCCUCGUU
Molecule: ribosomal RNA, 1038 nt
Filed under: Arthrobacter sp. G03 85-1
Lineage: Bacteria; Bacillati; Actinomycetota; Actinomycetes; Micrococcales; Micrococcaceae
Description: bacterial SSU rRNA
Rfam family: Bacterial small subunit ribosomal RNA
Source: RNAcentral